CAGCCGCCGCGGUAAUACGUAGGUGGCAAGCGUUGUCCGGAAUUAUUGGGCGUAAAGGGCUCGCAGGCGGUUUCUUAAGUCUGAUGUGAAAGCCCCGGCUCAACCGGGGAGGGUCAUUGGAAACUGGGAAACUUGAGUGCAGAAGAGGAGAGUGGAAUUCCACGUGUAGCGGUGAAAUGCGUAGAGAUGUGGAGGAACACCAGUGGCGAAGGCGACUCUCUGGUCUGUAACUGACGCUGAGGAGCGAAAGCGUGGGGAGCGAACAGGAUUAGAUACCCCCGUAGUCCCUGUCUCUUAUACA
Molecule: ribosomal RNA, 301 nt
Filed under: uncultured bacterium
Lineage: Bacteria
Description: partial 16S ribosomal RNA
Rfam family: Bacterial small subunit ribosomal RNA
Source: RNAcentral